Sarcophilus harrisii (Tasmanian devil) is the source of this 108-nucleotide long non-coding RNA. RefSeq lists it as uncharacterized. The record is from RefSeq and is a predicted model, not a curated record. The transcript is spliced from 2 exons. NCBI's taxonomy places the organism in Eukaryota, Metazoa, Chordata, Mammalia, Dasyuromorphia, Dasyuridae.
UCUUGUUAGGUUCUUCUGAUUCUAAAAAGGCAGCAAACCAAAAAUGCACAGUCAUACAGAAACUAAAAAGAUUGUAGCACUCAAGAUAAGCAUUUGCAAAAAGGUAAC